RNAcentral lists this ribosomal RNA (402 nucleotides) under bacterium enrichment culture clone ALO1_GLFRUDD03GU6ZK. RNAcentral's name for it is "bacterial SSU rRNA". It matches the Rfam family "Bacterial small subunit ribosomal RNA", at positions 9 to 412 of the family's 1533-position model. The record is from RNAcentral.
GAGUUUGACUUGGCUCAGAUUGAACGCUGGCGGCAUGCCUUACACAUGCAAGUCGAACGGCAGCACGGGAGCUUGCUCCUGGUGGCGAGUGGCGAACGGGUGAGUAAUGCAUCGGAACGUAUCCUGGAGUGGGGGAUAACGUAGCGAAAGUUACGCUAAUACCGCAUAUUCUGUGAGCAGGAAAGCGGGGGACCUUCGGGCCUCGCGCUCUUGGAGCGGCCGAUGUCGGAUUAGCUAGUUGGUGAGGUAAAGGCUCACCAAGGCGACGAUCCGUAGCAGGUCUGAGAGGAUGAUCUGCCACACUGGAACUGAGACACGGUCCAGACUCCUACGGGAGGCAGCAGUGGGGAAUUUUGGACAAUGGGGGCAACCCUGAUCCAGCCAUGCCGCGUGAGUGAAGAA